This 497-nucleotide ribosomal RNA is filed under the name uncultured bacterium. Its description in RNAcentral is "partial 16S ribosomal RNA". It matches the Rfam family "Bacterial small subunit ribosomal RNA", at positions 28 to 507 of the family's 1533-position model. The record is from RNAcentral.
GAUGAACGCUGGCGGCGUGCCUAAUACAUGCAAGUCGAGCGAACGGACGAGAAGCUUGCUUCUCUGAUGUUAGCGGCGGACGGGUGAGUAACACGUGGAUAACCUACCUAUAAGACUGGGAUAACUUCGGGAAACCGUAGCUAAUACCGGAUAAUAUUUUGAACCGCAUGGUUCAAAAGUGAAAGACGGUCUUGCUGUCACUUAUAGAUGGAUCCGCGCUGCAUUAGCUAGUUGGUAAGGUAACGGCUUACCAAGGCAACGAUGCAUAGCCGACCUGAGAGGGUGAUCGGCCACACUGGAACUGAGACACGGUCCAGACUCCUACGGGAGGCAGCAGUAGGGAAUCUUCCGCAAUGGGCGAAAGCCUGACGGAGCAACGCCGCGUGAGUGAUGAAGGUCUUCGGAUCGUAAAACUCUGUUAUUAGGGAAGAACAUAUGUGUAAGUAACUGUGCACAUAUUGACGGUACCUAAUCAGAAAGCCACGGCUAACUACGCG